Molecule: ribosomal RNA, 484 nt
Filed under: uncultured bacterium
Lineage: Bacteria
Description: partial 16S ribosomal RNA
Rfam family: Bacterial small subunit ribosomal RNA
Source: RNAcentral
AUUGAACGCUGGCGGCAGGCCUAACACAUGCAAGUCGAGCGGUAGAGAGAAGCUUGCUUCUCUUGAGAGCGGCGGACGGGUGAGUAAUGCCUAGGAAUCUGCCUGGUAGUGGGGGAUAACGUUCGGAAACGGACGCUAAUACCGCAUACGUCCUACGGGAGAAAGCCGGGGACCUUCGGGCCUUGCGCUAUCAGAUGAGCCUAGGUCGGAUUAGCUAGUUGGUGGGGUAAUGGCUCACCAAGGCGACGAUCCGUAACUGGUCUGAGAGGAUGAUCAGUCACACUGGAACUGAGACACGGUCCAGACUCCUACGGGAGGCAGCAGUGGGGAAUAUUGGACAAAGGGCGAAAGCCUGAUCCAGCCAUGCCGCGUGUGUGAAGAAGGUCUUCGGAUUGUAAAGCACUUUAAGUUGGGAGGAAGGGCAGUAAAUUAAUACGUUGCUGUUUUGACGUUACCGACAGAAUAAGCACCGGCUAACUCUGUG